This 253-nucleotide ribosomal RNA is filed under the name uncultured bacterium. RNAcentral describes it as "partial 16S ribosomal RNA". It matches the Rfam family "Bacterial small subunit ribosomal RNA", at positions 524 to 776 of the family's 1533-position model. The record is from RNAcentral.
UACGUAGGGGGCUAGCGUUGUCCGGAAUCAUUGGGCGUAAAGCGCGUGUAGGCGGUUCGGUAAGUCUGCUGUGAAAGUCGGGGGCUCAACCCUCGAAUGCCGGCCGAUACUGCCGGGCUAGAGUCCGGAAGAGGUGAGUGGAAUUCCUGGUGUAGCGGUGAAAUGCGCAGAUAUCAGGAGGAACACCAAUGGCGAAGGCAGCUCACUGGGACGGUACUGACGCUGAGACGCGAAAGCGUGGGGAGCAAACAGG